AUGCACACAGCAUCACCGGCUAUCUUCAGCACGCUAGUUAUUUCGAGCCGUUCGAUAAAGAUGAACAAUUUACAUGAACUACUUGAGAAAUGUCGUAGUCAGUUAAUCAAUGCGCCAAAAUUUACUAGCAAAGCACAAGAACCAAUCAAAGUCACACCCCCUAUAUUAAACAGUCAAACUAAAAAUCACAAAACAUCUGCUUUGAUUAGUCGAACGGCUUGUGGUCAAACCACUGCAGCAUCCCGGAAAGGAAAACUGCAGCAAACUUGUCAGCUACGGACCCAACUUUUGCGUCCGCUUACCGUUGACCCACGUUUGCGUCGAACAGUCAACUAUGUCCGGUCACUGCUGCCCGUUAAAAACGAAGAGAGAGAGAGAAAAACUGAAAGUACGCCUUCCACAUUUUUCUUCGAGCGAAAUGCGCCUUCCAUAAGCCCGCGGUCUCCAGCGGUCCAGCCCAGCUCCAGAACUGGUCCAGCUGCGCGACGAGCCGGAAAGAGUUGUAAUCGCGCGCCCCGAUAUUCGUGCCGGCCCGCGGCCGGCGCCCCCACACCGCCUCACUCCCCGCCGUCAAAUUCCGGGCCGCGCCGCCGCCAAACGCAGUCUAGCGGACCCCUCUCUCGCUUCUACCCCGGGCCCUGCGCAACCUAG
This 651-nucleotide ribosomal RNA is filed under the name Triticum aestivum (bread wheat). Its description in RNAcentral is "partial small subunit ribosomal RNA". The record is from RNAcentral. Lineage: Eukaryota; Viridiplantae; Streptophyta; Magnoliopsida; Poales; Poaceae.